CCUACGGGAGACUGCAGUGAGGAAUAUUGGUCAAUGGUCGGGAGACUGAACCAGCCAAGCCGCGUGAGGGAUGAAGGUACAGAGUAUCGUAAACCUCUUUUGUCAGGGAACAAAGGCGGGGACGCGUCCCCGGAUGAGUGUACCUGAAGAAAAAGCAUCGGCUAACUCCGUGCCAGCAGCCGCGGUAAUACGGAGGAUGCGAGCGUUAUCCGGAUUUAUGGGGUUUAAAGGGUGCGCAGGCGGUCUGUUAAGUCAGCGGUCAAAGCCCGGGGCUCAACCCCGGCCCGCCGUUGAAACUGGCAGUCUCGAGUGGGAGAGAAGUAUGCGGAAUGCGCGGUGUAGCGGUGAAAUGCAUAGAUAUCGCGCAGAACUCCGAUUGCGAAGGCAGCAUGCCGGCUCCACACUGACGCUGAGGCACGAAAGCGUGGGUAUCGAACAGGAUUAGAUACCCCUGUAGUC
Molecule: ribosomal RNA, 459 nt
Filed under: uncultured bacterium
Lineage: Bacteria
Description: partial 16S ribosomal RNA
Rfam family: Bacterial small subunit ribosomal RNA
Source: RNAcentral